UACGGAGGGUGCAAGCGUUAUCCGGAUUCACUGGGUUUAAAGGGUGCGUAGGUGGGUCUGUAAGUCAGUGGUGAAAUCUCCGAGCUUAACUUGGAAACUGCCAUUGAUACUAUAGAUCUUGAAUAUUGUGGAGGUCAGCGGAAUAUGUCAUGUAGCGGUGAAAUGCUUAGAUAUGACAUAGAACACCAAUUGCGAAGGCAGCUGGCUACACAUAUAUUGACACUGAGGCACGAAAGCGUGGGGAGCGAACAGG
RNAcentral lists this ribosomal RNA (253 nucleotides) under uncultured bacterium. RNAcentral describes it as "partial 16S ribosomal RNA". It matches the Rfam family "Bacterial small subunit ribosomal RNA", at positions 524 to 776 of the family's 1533-position model. The record is from RNAcentral.